UGCGCAUUGCUCUGCUGAGCCAGUUGGAGCUGGUACAUUGCUGUCUUCACUGGAGUGCUGCAAGCUCGAAGUGUGAUCUUGAGUAGCUGUUAUUCAAUACCAUAUGCUCUUAAGGACAACGCCCUGAUGUCCAAGGUCAAUCAGCAAGAAGCUGAGAAGGCACUGUCAAAAUGGUUCACUGGGGCAAGGGACAGAGGAGGACAGAGAGCAUCAAGAACGCAGAAAAGGAUGUCUGUUUGAGAAAGGUUAUAACUACAGUUGCUGAUUUGAACUGUCAUAGUUCUUUUAUUUUUCUUAAAGGAAAACCUUUUUCAAUAUUUUACCAUGUUCUUCCCUCAACUUAGAUGAAUUAAUACAUACCUCUAUUUUCUCAAUGCACUUAAAGGUGGGGCGCACAAUUUCUGGAAAAAAAAAAGUUUUGGAAAAGGAAGUCGGGCAGACUACCAAAACACACUUGUAGCCAAUCAGUAGCAUGUCUACUAACUGACAUCGUUUCCUGCCUUGCGUAUUUGUGGGGCAGGUCUAUCAAAAGAAGGUCCAGAUUCUAUUAUGGUAAGGGUGUGUUUGUUUAGAUGAUUUCAAAAUGUAAACAUUAGUGAUGCAACAAUACACUUAGUUCACGGUUCAAUACAAUUUUCGGUUCUUGUCCACGGUUUUCGGUUCGGUAUCGGUCCUGAUGCCUUGACCUAUUAAAGUGUUUUUUAAUUACCGGUAUUCUAUGCUUGGGUAACAGGAACAGUGAGAUGUUAAGAAGCAAAAAUACUGGUUUUAAUUGCAGUUCUCUUUAUUUUAUGUAGAUGCAAAAUCAUCUUACACAUUUCUAGUGUAUUGAUACAACAAUAUAAAUAUAAUUAAAUAAAGAUAUAUAAAAAUUAUAUCCUAUUCAAACUGGGGAACAUGUGAAUUCAUUACAUUACAUAAAUUGGCCAUUUUAUAUACCUGUACUUAGUAAAUUAAACUUUACAUUGUAAAAUAAGGCUAUACCUUACUGCACUAUUAAAUCCAACAUCAUGUUGUCUAUGUAGAAACCAAAAAUGCGUUUCCUCAAUCAAGAUUACUGGUGGGAUUUAUUUUAGCAUCAGGCGCAUUCUCUUCUUGAGUUGAACUUUUUGAGAACGGAAGACGUGUUUGAGGCAAACAACGCGCGUUUGCGAAUUUGCAUCUUUACAUUGAUGUUGUAUGUAAUCUACACGCGCAAGUAAUUAAUCCUCACCUCAGAUUUAAAAGACAGUUGUGCUGCUGCUUUUUGUUGUCGUAUUUCUGUUGGGUGUGUUUGCACGCGAAUGAAAUCUGAAACCAGCAUUGCAAGCAGAGUUCAAGCAGAGUUAACGCAGGUAGCGCACAGUGAUUGGAUAUCAACUCGCUGUGGCGUUUAUAAGCGUGCAGAUCAUGCGGACACGCACAUUAACAAAAGUGCAGGGAAUAUAAAACUGAUAGAUUUGGAUGGAUAAACCGAAAAAACGCAAUUCACAUGCACGUAUUGCACCGUGGGGGUCGAACCGAACGGUUCAAUAAUGUAUUGAGAAUUGUGGCAUCCCUAGUAAACGUUGGCUUUCAUGCACCCUGCCUUUAUUUGUUGUGAAGUGUAGCGUGAAUAUGUUAGCAUUUAGCCUAGCACCAAAAAACACGUCAAUAUCACCACUGUAAAAUAAUGACUAAAUACAUUAUCUUAAGUUUUGAAAAUUUAAUAAUGUAUUCAAAUGUUUGUCUACUUUUUAAAAUAAUUCAUAAUGGUGUCGCUCCUCCACUAAAAAAAGUAUUGCACUCAACUCAGAAAAGAAAAGAGCUACUCGAUCAGCCACUAGAGGAGAGUGCAAUAUUCCCAAUCGUAGAACUUCUUUUGGUAAAUCAUCUUUUUCUUUUGUGGCUACAACUCAGUGGAAUACUCUCCCCACACACCUUAUUACUUCUACAAAUCCAUUCAUCUUCUCGGGUUUGAUAAAAGCUUGGUUACUGUCACAACAAAACUGUACACACUUGUGAUGUGUGUGUGUGUGUGUGUGUGUGUGUGUGUGUGUGUGUG
Molecule: non-coding RNA, 2023 nt
Organism: Misgurnus anguillicaudatus (oriental weatherfish)
Lineage: Eukaryota; Metazoa; Chordata; Actinopteri; Cypriniformes; Cobitidae
Source: RefSeq, a predicted model, not a curated record